This 445-nucleotide ribosomal RNA is filed under the name uncultured soil bacterium. RNAcentral describes it as "bacterial SSU rRNA". It matches the Rfam family "Bacterial small subunit ribosomal RNA", at positions 26 to 518 of the family's 1533-position model. The record is from RNAcentral.
AGAGCGAACGCUGGCGGCAGGCCUAACACAUGCAAGUCGAACGGAUCCUUCGGGAUUAGUGGCGGACGGGUGAGUAACACGUGGGAACGUGCCCUUUGGUUCGGAACAACUCAGGGAAACUUGAGCUAAUACCGGAUAAGCCUUUCGAGGGAAAGAUUUAUCGCCAUUGGAGCGGCCCGCGUAGGAUUAGCUAGUUGGUGAGGUAAAAGCUCACCAAGGCGACGAUCCUUAGCUGGUCUGAGAGGAUGAUCAGCCACAUUGGGACUGAGACACGGCCCAAACUCCUACGGGAGGCAGCAGUGGGGAAUCUUGCGCAAUGGGCGAAAGCCUGACGCAGCCAUGCCGCGUGAAUGAUGAAGGUCUUAGGAUUGUAAAAUUCUUUACACCGGGGACGAUAAUGACGGUACCCGGAGAAGAAGCCCGGCUAACUCGUGCCAGCAGCCGC